Molecule: ribosomal RNA, 403 nt
Filed under: Verrucomicrobiota bacterium
Lineage: Bacteria; Pseudomonadati; Verrucomicrobiota
Description: Verrucomicrobia bacterium partial 16S ribosomal RNA
Rfam family: Bacterial small subunit ribosomal RNA
Source: RNAcentral
UGGGGAAUGUUGCACAAUUGGCGCCCUCCUGCUGCAGCAACGCCGCGUGAACGAUGACGUUCUUCGUUUCGUACAGUUCUGUUGCAGGGGAAGAUAAUGACGGUACCCUGUGAGGAAGCUCCGGCUAACUACGUGCCAGCCUCCGCGGUAAUACGUAGGGGGCUAGCGUUAUCCGGAUUUACUGGGCGUAAAGGGUGCGUAGGUGGUCUUUCAAGUCGGUGGUUAAAGGCUACGGCUCAACCGUAGUUAGCCUCCGAAACUGGAAGACUUGAGAGCAGGAGAGGAAAGUGGAAAUCCCAGUGUAGCGGUGAAAUGCGUAGAUAUUGGGAGGAAAACCAGGAGCGAAGGCGGCUUUCUGGACUGCAACUGACACUGAGGCACGAAAGCGUGGGUAGCAAAAAGG